RNAcentral lists this unclassified non-coding RNA (999 nucleotides) under Thrips palmi. RNAcentral's name for it is "retinol dehydrogenase 11-like, transcript variant X2". Lineage: Eukaryota; Metazoa; Arthropoda; Insecta; Thysanoptera; Thripidae. The record is from RNAcentral.
CAGUGUACUCGAGCUUAUGAGUCUUUCACUCUUGACUGACCGCUCCUGUGCAAGGCAUUGCACCUUGAGUUACACUCUUGUACAGUACUCCUCUAUCAGCUGUUUGAGAGGGACUGCCGCGCGCGUCGCACCCCGACUCAGACUGCCUCAGACCGAGGAGGCGAGCGGAGCGCGGAUCCCCGAUUCCCCGACCGCAACUUCCGCGACCAUGGCCGUGUUGACAAUCGUCCUGGUCGUGGUGGGCCUCAUGGUGGCCGUCCGCGCGUACAACAAGAUGACCAUGGGGCGCUGCCGGUGCACGGCGCGCCUCGACGGCAAGGUGGUGAUUGUGACUGGGGCCAACACGGGCAUCGGCAAGGAGGCGGCGCGGGACCUGGCGGCGCGCGGCGCCCGGGUCAUCCUGGCGUGCAGGGACCUCCAGAAGGCCGACCAGGCGAGGGACGAUAUCGUAGCGUCGACGGGCAACCGCAACGUGCUGAUCCGACAGCUGGACUUGCUGUCGCUGGCGUCGGUGCGUGCCUUCGCCAAGGGCGUGCUGCAGACCGAGUCCCGCCUGGACGUGCUCAUCAACAACGCGGGCGCGGGGGGGCUGCCCAACCAGCGCACGCCGGACGGCCUCACCAUGGGCAUGCAGGCCAACCACUUCGGCCCGUUCCUGCUCACCUGCUUGCUGCUAGACCUGUUGAGGAAGACGCAGGGAAGCCGGCUCAUCAUGGUCUCGUCUAUGGCGCACCCCUAUGGCCACUUCGACAUUGACAACAUGGACUGCGAGAAAAGCUACAACGGCUUCUACCUGUACUGCAACUCCAAGCUGUGCAACAUUCUCACGGCCCAGUACAUCGCCCAGAAGGCGUGACAGCCAACAGCCUGCACCCGGGCGUGGUGCAGACCGACAUCUUGAGGAACGUGAAGACGGCGUGGAUCCGCAACGUCGCGGACAGAGGGAUCGGCUUGCUGUUCAAGAGCGCCGCGGAGGGCGCGCAGACCACCAUCCACCUC